Molecule: ribosomal RNA, 428 nt
Filed under: uncultured Bacillota bacterium
Lineage: Bacteria; Bacillati; Bacillota
Description: uncultured Firmicutes bacterium partial 16S ribosomal RNA
Rfam family: Bacterial small subunit ribosomal RNA
Source: RNAcentral
UGGGGAAUUUUCCGCAAUGGACGAAAGUCUGACGGAGCAACGCCGCGUGAAUGAAGAAGGCCUUCGGGUCGUAAAAUUCUGUCAUAAGGGAAGAACAUACAUAGUGUAAAUAAUGCUAUGUACUGACGGUACCUUAGGAGGAAGCCACGGCUAACUACGUGCCAGCAGCCGCGGUAAUACGUAGGUGGCGAGCGUUGUCCGGAAUUACUGGGCGUAAAGGGCGCGCAGGCGGGAAUUUAAGUCAGAUGUGAAAGCUCCGGGCUCAACCUGGAGACUGCAUUUGAAACUGGAUUUCUUGAGGACAGGAGAGGAAAGCGGAAUUCCUAGUGUAGCGGUGAAAUGCGUAGAUAUUAGGAGGAACACCAGUGGCGAAGGCGGCUUUCUGGACUGUAACUGACGCUGAGGCGCGAAAGCGUGGGGAGCAAACG